Molecule: ribosomal RNA, 500 nt
Filed under: uncultured bacterium
Lineage: Bacteria
Description: partial 16S ribosomal RNA
Rfam family: Bacterial small subunit ribosomal RNA
Source: RNAcentral
AUUGAACGCUGGCGGCAUGCCUUACACAUGCAAGUCGAACGGCAGCACGGGAGCAAUCCUGGUGGCGAGUGGCGAACGGGUGAGUAAUACAUCGGAACGUGCCCAGUUGUGGGGGAUAGCCCGGCGAAAGCCGGAUUAAUACCGCAUACGACCUACGGGUGAAAGCGGGGGAUCGCAAGACCUCGCGCCAGUGGAUCGGCAUAUGUCGGAGUAGCUAUUUGGUGGGGUAAAAGCCUACCAAGGCUACGAUCCGUAGCUGGUCUGAGAGGACGACCAGCCACACUGGGACUGAGACACGGCCCAGACUCCUACGGGAGGCAGCAGUGGGGAAUUUUGGACAAUGGGCGCAAGCCUGAUCCAGCCAUGCCGCGUGCGGGAAGAAGGCCUUCGGGUUGUAAACCGCUUUUGUCAGGGAAGAAACGGUUUGGGCUAAUACCCCGAACUAAUGACGGUACCUGAAGAAUAAGCACCGGCUAACUACGUGCCAGCCGCCGCCGUAA